UGCACAAAAACCAAAAAGAACAGAAGAAAAAAACGAAAGAUGAACCAGCAACCUACCAGCUUGUGCUAAGGUGAAGCUCUGUUGUUAUACUUAUCUUCCCUUCCUUACCUACCUUGUCCUUAAGCAGCCCAGUAGAGUAGCCCUCUCUCUCUCUCUCUCUCUCUCUCUCUCUCUCUCUCUCUCUCUCUCUCUCUCUCUCUCUCUCUCUCUGGGGACAAAAGGAUGUUGAUUAGUUUCAUGAAAUUUAGGCUUUACUUGCGCUAGUUCCUAUAGAUUCUCUUCCAAUGACAAUCAGUUUAUAGAUAAACCAUUCUCUACUUUGUCAUAGUCUCAUGUGGUUGUGGUGUGCAGGCCUUCAUGUGAAGAGGGCUCCUGAGGAGCCACUUGGUCAUGCAGCUGCCAUUAUAACUGAUGUUGUUGAGAAUGCCGAGACCAACCAUGUAAUAAGUGUUGUGCAGAAGCGAGCUCUUCUUCAAGAAAUGGCGCUGAGGCUGACCUAGAAGUUUCCUCUUGCCGCCAUGUUGUAUCUUCCUUUUCUUUCUUUCAGAAAUAUUGACAUGUUGUACACCACCAUAUCACCAUAUGAAUCUUUCUUUUUUGUGGUUUUAAUAGGAUGCUUCUAGUUGGAGCAUGGUUGUAAAUGAACCUUGUUCAACAUCAAUGGAAAGGGAACUUCACACAGUUUUGUCUAGUCCAUAACGGACUAAGACCAACUGCUAUGCA
Molecule: long non-coding RNA, 723 nt
Organism: Prunus dulcis (almond)
Lineage: Eukaryota; Viridiplantae; Streptophyta; Magnoliopsida; Rosales; Rosaceae
Exons: 2
Source: RefSeq, a predicted model, not a curated record